This is a regulatory RNA element of 204 nucleotides. It matches the Rfam family "T-box leader". Rfam says of the family: Uncharged tRNA acts as the effector for transcription antitermination of genes in the T-box leader family. The record is from Rfam.
AUUAAAUCAAAGAUAAAAGAAGUAGUAAAUCUAUGUAAUUGAAGUGCCAAGAGAACAUACGGUUGGUGAGAGUAUGAGACUUCAAUGGAUUGAAUUCAUCUUUUUAGAGGUGUUAAUCACACCCGCAGACGCUGCGUUAAAGCAUUCAAGUGCUAAGUAAUCAUACUUAGAACUAAGGUGGUACCGCGAUUAGUCGUCCUUAGA